RNAcentral lists this ribosomal RNA (1376 nucleotides) under uncultured bacterium. RNAcentral's name for it is "bacterial SSU rRNA". It matches the Rfam family "Bacterial small subunit ribosomal RNA", at positions 38 to 1398 of the family's 1533-position model. The record is from RNAcentral.
GGCGGCGUGCCUAAUACAUGCAAGUAGAACGCUGAAGAGAGGAGCUUGCUCUUCUUGGAUGAGUUGCGAACGGGUGAGUAACGCGUAGGUAACCUGCCUGGUAGCGGGGGAUAACUAUUGGAAACGAUAGCUAAUACCGCAUAAAAUUGAUUAUUGCAUGAUAAUUAAUUGAAAGAUGCAAUUGCAUCACUACCAGAUGGACCUGCGUUGUAUUAGCUAGUUGGUGAGGUAACGGCUCACCAAGGCGACGAUACAUAGCCGACCUGAGAGGGUGAUCGGCCACACUGGGACUGAGACACGGCCCAGACUCCUACGGGAGGCAGCAGUAGGGAAUCUUCGGCAAUGGGGGGAACCCUGACCGAGCAACGCCGCGUGAGUGAAGAAGGUUUUCGGAUCGUAAAGCUCUGUUGUAAGAGAAGAACGGGUGUGAGAGUGGAAAGUUCACACUGUGACGGUAUCUUACCAGAAAGGGACGGCUAACUACGUGCCAGCAGCCGCGGUAAUACGUAGGUCCCGAGCGUUGUCCGGAUUUAUUGGGCGUAAAGCGAGCGCAGGCGGUUAGAUAAGUCUGAAGUUAAAGGCUGUGGCUUAACCAUAGUAUGCUUUGGAAACUGUUUAACUUGAGUGCAGAAGGGGAGAGUGGAAUUCCAUGUGUAGCGGUGAAAUGCGUAGAUAUAUGGAGGAACACCGGUGGCGAAAGCGGCUCUCUGGUCUGUAACUGACGCUGAGGCUCGAAAGUGUGGGGAGCAAACAGGAUUAGAUACCCUGGUAGUCCACGCCGUAAACGAUGAGUGCUAGGUGUUAGGCCCUUUCCGGGGCUUAGUGCCGCAGCUAACGCAUUAAGCACUCCGCCUGGGGAGUACGACCGCAAGGUUGAAACUCAAAGGAAUUGACGGGGGCCCGCACAAGCGGUGGAGCAUGUGGUUUAAUUCGAAGCAACGCGAAGAACCUUACCAGGUCUUGACAUCCCUCUGACCGCUCUAGAGAUAGAGUUUUCCUUCGGGACAGAGGUGACAGGUGGUGCAUGGUUGUCGUCAGCUCGUGUCGUGAGAUGUUGGGUUAAGUCCCGCAACGAGCGCAACCCCUAUUGUUAGUUGCCAUCAUUGAGUUGGGCACUCUAGCGAGACUGCCGGUAAUAAACCGGAGGAAGGUGGGGAUGACGUCAAAUCAUCAUGCCCCUUAUGACCUGGGCUACACACGUGCUACAAUGGCUGGUACAACGAGUCGCAAGCCGGUGACGGCAAGCUAAUCUCUGAAAGCCAGUCUCAGUUCGGAUUGUAGGCUGCAACUCGCCUACAUGAAGUCGGAAUCGCUAGUAAUCGCGGAUCAGCACGCCGCGGUGAAUACGUUCCCGGGCCUUGCACACACCGCCCGUC